ACUCUGUUUCUAUAUGUAACUUCUGAGUAAAACCAUAAAUAAAUCAAAACUUUCAACAACGGAUCUCUUGGUUCUGGCAUCGAUGAAGAACGCAGCAAAAUGCGAUAAGUAAUGUGAAUUGCAGAAUUCAGUGAAUCAUCGAAUCUUUGAACGCACAUUGCGCCCGCCAGUAUUCUGGCGGGCAUGCCUGUUCGAGCGUCAUUUCAACCCUCAAGCCCCCGGGUUUGGUGUUGGGGAUCGGCGAGCCCUUGCGGCAAGCCGGCCCCGAAAUCUAGUGGCGGUCUCGCUGCAGCUUCCAUUGCGUAGUAGUAAAACCCUCGCAACUGGUACGCGGCGCGGCCAAGCCGUUAAACCCCCAACUUCUGAAUGUUGACCUCGGAUCAGGUAGGAAUACCCGCUGAACUUAAGCAUAUCAAUAAGCGGAG
Molecule: ribosomal RNA, 425 nt
Filed under: Nectriaceae sp. nc_besc_102a
Lineage: Eukaryota; Fungi; Ascomycota; Sordariomycetes; Hypocreales; Nectriaceae
Description: eukaryotic LSU rRNA
Rfam family: 5.8S ribosomal RNA (bases 48-201)
Source: RNAcentral